UGCCAGCCGCCGCGGUAAUACGGAGGGUGCGAGCGUUAAUCGGAAUCACUGGGCGUAAAGCGUACGUAGGUGGCAAAGUCAGUCGGAUGUGAAAUCCCCGGGCUUAACCUGGGAACUGCAUUCGAUACUGCAGAACUAGAGUAUGGUAGAGGGAAGUGGAAUUUCCGGUGUAGCGGUGAAAUGCGUAGAUAUCGGAAGGAACACCAGUGGCGAAGGCGACUUCCUGGGCCAAUACUGACGCUGAGGUGCGAAAGCGUGGGGUAGCGAACGGGAUUAGAUA
This 280-nucleotide ribosomal RNA is filed under the name uncultured bacterium. RNAcentral's name for it is "partial 16S ribosomal RNA". It matches the Rfam family "Bacterial small subunit ribosomal RNA", at positions 506 to 784 of the family's 1533-position model. The record is from RNAcentral.